CAAGAUGGGGUAUCCCUACAUAGCGGGUGGGACCCACGGCGAAUGGUUCAUCAAGUCUUCAAAAAAGAAUAUAUACGAUUGCAUUGCAUAUACUAACGGAUGCGAUCAUACCAGCACUAAUGCACCGGAUCCCAUCAGAACUCCGUAGUUAAGCGUGCUUGGGCGAGAGUAGUACUAGGAUGGGUGACCUCCCGGGAAGUCCUCGUGUUGCAUCUCCUUUUAUGUUUAACCUUUUUUUUUUUGGUU
RNAcentral lists this ribosomal RNA (246 nucleotides) under Arabidopsis thaliana (thale cress). The record is from RNAcentral. Lineage: Eukaryota; Viridiplantae; Streptophyta; Magnoliopsida; Brassicales; Brassicaceae.